CGGGGUGCACCAGGCGCGAAAACUCUACAAUGCAGGCAACUGCGAUAGGGGAACAUCGAGUGGCACCCACUAUGGGUGUCUGUCCAACCGUGUAAAAAACGGUUGUUAGCAAGGGCCGGGUAAGACCGGUGCCAGCCGCCGCGGUAAUACCGGCGGCUCGAGUGGUGGCCGAUAUUAUUGAGUCUAAAGGGUCCGGAGCUGGCUUUGCAAGUCCCCCGGGAAAUCUAGCGGCUUAACCGUUGGGCUUUCAUGGGAUACUACAAGGCUUGGGACCGGGAGAGGUAGGAGGUACUCAGGGGGUAGGGGUGAAAUCCUGUAAUCCUCUGGGGACCACCGGUGGCGAAGGCGUCCUACCAGAACAGGUUCGACAGUGAGGGACGAAAGCUAGGGGCACGAACCGGAUUAGAUACCCGGGUAGUCCUAGCCGUAAACGAUGCUCGCUAGGUGUCACGGCAGUCGUGAAUGGUCGUGGUGCCGUAGGGAAGCCGUGAAGCGAGCCACUUGGGAAGUACGACCGCAAGGUUGAACAUAAAGGAAUCGGCGGGGGAG
Molecule: ribosomal RNA, 549 nt
Filed under: uncultured archaeon
Lineage: Archaea
Description: bacterial SSU rRNA
Rfam family: Archaeal small subunit ribosomal RNA
Source: RNAcentral